CGGGGGGCUGCAGUGAGGAAUAUUGCACAAUGGACGCAAGUCUGAUGCAGCAACGCCGCGUGGAGGAUGACGGCCCUUGGGUUGUAAACUCCUUUUUUCAGGGAAGAGAAUGGACGGUACCUGAAGAAUAAGUCACGGCUAACUACGUGCCAGCAGCCGCGGUAAUACGUAGGUGGCAAGCGUUAUCCGGAAUUACUGGGCGUAAAGCGCACGCAGGCGGUCUUUUAAGUUUGACGUGAAAGCUCUCGGCUUAACUGGGAGAGGUCGUUGAAUACUGGAAGACUUGAGGCAAUGAGAGGGGUGUAGAAUUCCCGGUGUAGUGGUGGAAUGCGUAGAUAUCGGGGGGAAUACCAGUGGCGAAAGCGGCACCCUAGCGUUGUUCUGACGCUCAUGUGCGAAAGCGUGGGGAGCGAACGGGAUUAGAUACCCCGGUAGUC
RNAcentral lists this ribosomal RNA (437 nucleotides) under uncultured Caldilineaceae bacterium. RNAcentral describes it as "bacterial SSU rRNA". It matches the Rfam family "Bacterial small subunit ribosomal RNA", at positions 342 to 795 of the family's 1533-position model. Lineage: Bacteria; Bacillati; Chloroflexota; Caldilineae; Caldilineales; Caldilineaceae. The record is from RNAcentral.